UNCUCUUGNNUCNNCAGAAUUCGNNNGAGAUNNCUUAGUGCCUUCGGGAACUGUGAGACAGGUGCUGCAUGGCUGUCGUCAGCUCGUGUUGUGAAAUGUUGGGUUAAGUCCCGCAACGAGCGCAACCCUUAUCCUUUGUUGCCAGCGCGUCAUGGCGGGAACUCAAAGGAGACUGCCGGUGAUAAACCGGAGGAAGGUGGGGAUGACGUCAAGUCAUCAUGGCCCUUACGAGUAGGGCUACACACGUGCUACAAUGGCGUAUACAAAGAGAAGCGAACUCGCGAGAGCCAGCGGACCUCAUAAAGUACGUCGUAGUCCGGAUCGGAGUCUGCAACUCGACUCCGUGAAGUCGGAAUCGCUAGUAAUCGUAGAUCAGAAUGCUACGGUGAAUACGUUCCCGGG
This 402-nucleotide ribosomal RNA is filed under the name Serratia sp. AZTITEMP179. Its description in RNAcentral is "partial 16S ribosomal RNA". It matches the Rfam family "Bacterial small subunit ribosomal RNA", at positions 976 to 1378 of the family's 1533-position model. The record is from RNAcentral. Lineage: Bacteria; Pseudomonadati; Pseudomonadota; Gammaproteobacteria; Enterobacterales; Yersiniaceae.